Molecule: ribosomal RNA, 103 nt
Filed under: Acinetobacter venetianus
Lineage: Bacteria; Pseudomonadati; Pseudomonadota; Gammaproteobacteria; Moraxellales; Moraxellaceae
Description: partial 16S ribosomal RNA
Rfam family: Bacterial small subunit ribosomal RNA
Source: RNAcentral
CCGUAAGGAGGGCGAUUACCACGGUAGGAUUCAUGACUGGGGUGAAGUCGUAACAAGGUAGCCGUAUCGGAAGGUGCGGCUGGAUCACCUCCUUUCAGAGCUU